CAAGGCUGCCAGAGAGUGAUCCGACAGAUGGAUGACUUCGCAAAGCAGCGCCCACAGACGGCCCAAUUGGAGAUUCUUUGAGGAGCUGGAAGGCAAACUUGGUUCAUGCAGACGUAAGGCACUAAUAUUUUCAACUGGGGUGCUCUCCACUGGGUGCCUAUUAAAUGCUCAGCACUUUGAAGGAUACCAGAGAAGUAAAGGCCUGGCCCCUGACUUUAAGGAGCAUUUUAUCCAGUUGGGUGGGACGCUACUGCAGACUGCUUUCAAGUCAAGAGCUGCCUCAUCUUCCAAAGUGGGAGUUCCCAGCAUCAGGCUUGUGGGGGUGGAAGCUUAAUCCGCCUCCUUCCAAAAACUGAGAGAGCUCUGUCCGCCCUUGAGUAACUAGAAGCGCGCCUUUGCUCAAGUUGAGAGCUGAUAUCAGGACAGAAACAUGUACUGCCAUGUAGAAGAGUAAAGAGUAGCGAAAAUACUAGAAAUUCCACCUUAAAGUGGCCAGGUUUUUAAUAAUUAAGGUACCAAUAAAUAUAAGGAAUAUAAAAUGGUUCUUAAGGAAUAUAACCAAACUGGGUUUCAAAUUGUUUUUUUAGGGACAUGGACAUAGAUUCCUAUGAAAGCCUUAUAUUUAGUGGUUAGGUAUCAGGUUUAUCCCUAAAACCUAUUAAAACUAUAUUGACUCUGAAAUGGCACUUUUAAUUCCCUUAAGAUUCCAUCCUUACCUACUCCCAAUGGAAGUCUUCAAGUUAUUAGAUAAUUGGAAAAUUGAGACUGGAGACUGAAUUGAACCAUGAACCAUGGGGGGUGAGGAGUGGGUGAAGGUGGGCCUUUCUUGGUUUAGCAGCACUCAAAUUAGCAUAAGAAGAAACUUAUGCUACUUCUGGGAGAUGACCCAGAAAAUGUGGCCAUCAAAAACAACAAUGUUCAUAUGUCUGAGUCCCAUUUAUUAAAUCUAUGAGUUAGUGACUGAAGGACUUAGGUUUCUUUCAAAUUAAGUUAAAUUCCAUUAGAAUAAGAUUGAUAACUUGGACAAAAUUUACUUUUAAGAUUCCUAUGAAAGGGACUCUAGUACUACUGUUGCACCUUAUCCCAUUCGGUCAUCAGAACUUGUGUUGGGCAUAUGGCCAGUCCCUAGAAAUACUUGCUUCAUGAAUUGAAUAAGACGAUUAACUAAGAUGACUGACAUGCCUUGGUGUAAUCGGCCUUUGCAAAGAUGAACUCUUCAAGGUUUGUCUAAGAUUUGAGAAGCCCACUGAGAGUGUGCCAACGGAUUAUUAAUGAGCACUCAUACAAGUAAAGAUAGUCAAUCCACAGCAAAACUUCAGCACUAAUGAGAUAAAAAGGCUUUGGGCAUAUUACCUAACCUCAAUGUCCUCAUCUAUAAAAUGUAGAUAAUAGCAACAACUAUCAUAUAGGGUUAUUAUGAGGAUUAAAUGAGACAAGGCACAUGGAGUAAUUAGAAGAGUGUCUGGCAGGUAGGAAUUAGGGGAAUGACUAUGCAGAUGCAUUUAUGUAGAUGAGCAGACCUCUAGGGUAACUCAGGAACAAUAGAAGGUCCUAAACAUACAGGGGUCAUGGGAACCCUACACUGUUUAUGAAUCUUGGCUGCAUCAUUGUGAACUAAUUAAGGACCAGCUAAGGCACCUGCCCCAUUCCAGAAGAAUUGGCACUGUGUAAGAUCCUGCUGCUGUGUGGUAUGACUUGAAAAUACAUGCUGAAAUGACUUUUCCUAACAGCCCAGAGAUAUGUGGCCAUGGAAUAGAAAUUGGGUUGAAUAAUAAAAAAGUCAUAUUUCACAACCCACUUUAGCCAUUAUUAUUAGGGAACCAAAUGAUGUAUCCAAAUAUCAAAAGAGAGAGCGGGGAUAAGGCACAAGGGGCUUGAGAAGAAUUUUGCUCUAGAUACAUUUUACUGUCCCAAUAGCCAUGCCAUAAUUUCUAAAGGAGCCUACGGGGAAAAAUCUGAGAAAGGUAAGGAACUCAUCUGAAACCUCUUUUGUAUAACAGCUUUUUUUUUUUUUUUUGAGACGGAGUCUUGCUCUGUCACCCAAGCUGGAGU
This is a long non-coding RNA of Sapajus apella (tufted capuchin), 2052 nucleotides long. RefSeq lists it as uncharacterized. Lineage: Eukaryota; Metazoa; Chordata; Mammalia; Primates; Cebidae. The transcript has 4 exons. The record is from RefSeq and is a predicted model, not a curated record.